AGGCAACCACGGUAGGGUCAGCGACUGGGGUGAAGUCGUAACAAGGUAGCCGUAGGGGAACCUGUGGCUGGAUCACCU
Molecule: ribosomal RNA, 78 nt
Filed under: Bartonella quintana
Lineage: Bacteria; Pseudomonadati; Pseudomonadota; Alphaproteobacteria; Hyphomicrobiales; Bartonellaceae
Also listed under: 2 other names
Description: partial 16S rRNA
Rfam family: Bacterial small subunit ribosomal RNA
Source: RNAcentral